UACAGAGGGUGCAAGCGUUGCUCGGAUUUACUGGGCGUAAAGCGUACGCAGACGGUCACGCAGGUCGGAUGUGAAAGCCCCGGGCUCAACCCGGGAACUGCAUUCGAAACCAUGUGACUUGAGGAUGGUAGAGGAGAGCGGAAUUCCCGGUGUAGAGGCGAAAUUCGUAGAUAUCGGGAGGAACACCAGUGGCGAAAGCGGCUCUCUGGCCCAUUUCUGACGUUCAGGUACGAAAGCGUGGGGAGCAAACAGG
RNAcentral lists this ribosomal RNA (253 nucleotides) under uncultured bacterium. Its description in RNAcentral is "partial 16S ribosomal RNA". It matches the Rfam family "Bacterial small subunit ribosomal RNA", at positions 524 to 776 of the family's 1533-position model. The record is from RNAcentral.